RNAcentral lists this ribosomal RNA (442 nucleotides) under uncultured bacterium. Its description in RNAcentral is "bacterial SSU rRNA". It matches the Rfam family "Bacterial small subunit ribosomal RNA", at positions 363 to 793 of the family's 1533-position model. The record is from RNAcentral.
AUUGCACAAUGGGCGCAAGCCUGAUGCAGCCAUGCCGCGUGUAUGAAGAAGGACCUUCGGGUUGUAAAGUACUUUCAGCAGUGAGGAAGGUGGAUAUGUUAAUAGCAUAUUCAUUUGACGUUAGCUGCAGAAGAAAGCACCGGCUAACUCCGUGCCAGCAGCCGCGGUAAUACGGAGGGUGCGAGCGUUAAUCGGAAUUACUGGGCGUAAAGCGCAUGCAGGUGGUUUGUUAAGUCAGAUGUGAAAGACCCGGGGCUCAACCUCGGAAUUGCAUUUGAAACUGGCAAACUAGAGUACUGUAGAGGGGGGUAGGAAUUUCAGGUGUAGCGGUGAAAUGCGUAGAGAUCUGAAGGAAUACCGGUGGCGAAGGCGGCCCCCUGGACAGAUACUGACACUCAGAUGCGAAAGCGUGGGGAGCAAACAGGAUUAGAUACCCUGGUAG